GACGAACGCUGGCGGCGUGCUUAACACAUGCAAGUCGAACGGAAAGGCCCUGCUUUUGUGGGGUGCUCGAGUGGCGCACGGGUGAGUAACACGUGAGUAACCUGCCCUUGACUUUGGGAUAACUUCAGGAAACUGGGGCUAAUACCGGAUAGGAGCUCCUGCUGCAUGGUGGGGGUUGGAAAGUUUCGGCGGUUGGGGAUGGACUCGCGGCUUAGCAGCUUGUUGGUGGGGUAGUGGCUUACCAAGGCUUUGACGGGUAGCCGGCCUGAGAGGGUGACCGGCCACAUUGGGACGGAGAUACGGCGCAGACUCCUAGGGGAGGCAGCCGUGGGGAAUAUUGCCCUAUGGGCGGAAGCCUGAUGCAGCAACGCCGCGUGCGGGAUGAUGGCCUUCGUGCUGUAAACCGCUUUCGCCUGUGACGAAGCGUGAGUGACGGUAAUGGGUAAAGAAGCACCGGCUAACUACGUG
RNAcentral lists this ribosomal RNA (468 nucleotides) under uncultured bacterium. RNAcentral describes it as "partial 16S ribosomal RNA". It matches the Rfam family "Bacterial small subunit ribosomal RNA", at positions 28 to 507 of the family's 1533-position model. The record is from RNAcentral.